GACACGCUGGCGGCGUGCCUAACACAUGCAAGUCGAACGGAGGUGAUGGGAUAGCUUGCUAUUUAAUCAUCUUAGUGGCGGACGGGUGAGUAACACGUGGGCAACCUGCCCCAAAGAGGGGGAUAACACCGAGAAAUCGGUGCUAAUACCGCAUAAUAUUAGAGCUUCGCAUGGAGCUUUAAUCAAAGGAGCAAUCCGCUUUGGGAUGGGCCCGCGUCUGAUUAGCUAGUUGGUGAGGUAACGGCUCACCAAGGCGACGAUCAGUAGCCGAUCUGAGAGGAUGACCGGCCACACUGGAACUGAGACACGGUCCAGACUCCUACGGGAGGCAGCAGUGGGGAAUAUUGCACAAUGGGGGAAACCCUGAUGCAGCAACGCCGCGUGGAGGAAGAAGGUCUUCGGAUUGUAAACUCCUGUCUUCUGGGACGAAUAAUGACGGUACCAGAGGAGGAAGCCACGGCUAACUACGUG
RNAcentral lists this ribosomal RNA (471 nucleotides) under uncultured bacterium. RNAcentral's name for it is "bacterial SSU rRNA". It matches the Rfam family "Bacterial small subunit ribosomal RNA", at positions 33 to 507 of the family's 1533-position model. The record is from RNAcentral.